RNAcentral lists this ribosomal RNA (1516 nucleotides) under human gut metagenome. Its description in RNAcentral is "bacterial LSU rRNA". It matches the Rfam family "Bacterial large subunit ribosomal RNA", at positions 445 to 1975 of the family's 2925-position model. The record is from RNAcentral.
AGCGGGGCCCAUCCCGUAAGGCUAAAUACUCCCGAGAGACCGAUAGCGAACCAGUACUGUGAAGGAAAGGUGAAAAGAACCUCGAACAGAGGAGUGAAACAGACCCUGAAACCAUGCGCCUACAAGCGGUCGGAGCAUGUUAAAAUGUGACGGCGUGCCUUUUGCAUAAUGAACCUACGAGUUACUCUCGCUGGCAAGGUUAAGCGAUUCAGUCGCGCAGCCGAAGCGAAAGCAAGUCCGAACAAGGCGUACAGUCAGCGGGAGUAGACGCGAAACCAAGUGAUCUACCCUUGGUCAGGUUGAAGGUUGGGUAACACCAACUGGAGGACCGCACCGAUAAGCGUUGAAAAGCUUACGGAUGAACUGAGGGUAGGAGUGAAAGGCCAAUCAAACUUGGAGAUAGCUCGUACUCCCCGAAAUGCAUUUAGGUGCAGCCUCGAAGCAGAGUGAUAGAGGUAGAGCGACUGAUAAGAUGCGAGGGCUUCACCGCCUAUCAAGUCUUGACAAACUCCGAAUACUAUCACUUGAUCUUUGGGAGUGAGGGCAUGGGUGCUAAGGUCCAUGUCCGAAAGAGGAACAACUCAGACCACCGGCUAAGGUCCCGAAAUAAGGGCUAAGUUGAACAAACGAAGUAAAACUGCAAAGACAGCUAGGAUGUUGGCUUGGAAGCAGCCAUUCAUUUAAAGAGUGCGUAACAGCUCACUAGUCGAGGAGUUUUGCAUGGAUAAUAAUCGGGCAUAAGCCCUUUACCGAAGCUGUGGAUGUCGUAAGACAUGGUAGGGGAGCAUUCCGGCGGCGACGAAGGCCGUCCUCGAGGACGACUGGAGCUUUCGGAAAAGCAAAUGUAGGUAUAAGUAACGAUAAAGGGGGCGCGAAACCCCCUCGCCAUAAGACUAAGGAUUCCUGAUCAACGCUAAUCGGAUCAGGGUAAGUCGGGCCCUAAGGCGCAGCCGAACGGCGCAGCCGAUGGAAGAAACGGUAAAAAUUCCGUUACUGGAUAUAGGAGCGAUGUGGAGACGGAGAAGUGACACACCCGCCUGCCGACGGAAGCGCAGGUUAAAGGAAGUAGGUAAACGCCGGGCAGGCAAAUCCGCCUGGCGUGCCGAAGCUGACAGUAUCGAGAGCCCCCGGGCAAUCGAAUAGCGGUGGUAAUCAGGCUCCCAAGAAAAUCCGCUAAGCAUAUUCUAUAUUCACCCGUACCCCAAACGGACACACGUAGUCGGGUAGAAUAUACCAAGGCGCUCGAAAGACUCACGGUUAAGGAACUAGGCAAAUUGACCCUGUAACCUCGGGAAAAAGGGUCCCCAGUAAGAUGGGGCGCAGAGAAUAGGUCCAGGCAACUGUUUAACAAAAACACAGGGCUGUGCAAAAUUUGAAGAUGAAGUAUACAGCCUGACACCUGCCCGGUGCCGGAAGGUUAAGAGGAGAGCUAAUCGCAAGAGAAGGCUUGAAUUGAAGCCCCGGUAAACGGCGGCCGUAACUAUAACGGUCCUAAGGUAGCGAAAUUCCUUGUCGG